This 345-nucleotide unclassified non-coding RNA is filed under the name soil metagenome. RNAcentral's name for it is "partial contains 5.8S ribosomal RNA, internal transcribed spacer 2, and large subunit ribosomal RNA". The stretch from base 1 to 120 matches the Rfam family "5.8S ribosomal RNA", at positions 35 to 154 of the family's 154-position model. The record is from RNAcentral.
GAUGAAGAACGUAGCGAAAUGCGAUACGUAAUGUGAAUUGCAGAAUUCAGUGAAUCAUCGAGUCUUUGAACGCACAUUGCGCCCUCUGGUAUUCCGGAGGGCAUGCCUGUCCGAGCGUCAUUGCUGCCCUCAAGCACGGCUUGUGUGUUGGGCUCCGUCCCCCGAUCCCGGGGGACGGGCCCGAAAGGCAGCGGCGGCACCGCGUCCGGUCCUCGAGCGUAUGGGGCUUUGUCACCCGCUCUGUAGGCCCGGCCGGCGCUUGCCGACACAUCAAUCUUUUUUCCAGGUUGACCUCGGAUCAGGUAGGGAUACCCGCUGAACUUAAGCAUAUCAAUAAGCGGAGGA